AUGGAUUUGGGGGCAGAGCAGCACGGCUGCGAGCAUUACACGAGGAGGUGCAGGAUACGGGCGCCCUGCUGUGGCGAGGUCUUCGGCUGCCGGCAUUGCCAUAACCAAGCUAAGAAUUCGCUGGAGGUGGACCUCCUCGACCGGCACGAGAUCCCCCGCCACGAAAUCAGCAAGGUUAUCUGCUCUCUCUGCAACAAAGAACAGGAUGUGCAACAGAACUGCUCCGGUUGUGGGGCAUGCAUGGGAAAAUACUUCUGUGAAAAAUGCAACUUCUUUGACGAUGAUAUCUCAAAGAAGCAGUACCACUGCGAUGGAUGCGGCAUCUGCAGAACUGGCGGCAUGGACAAUUUCUUCCACUGCGAAAAAUGCGGGUGUUGCUACAGCAAUGUUUUGAAGGACUCUCAUCAUUGUGUGGAACGAGCAAUGCAUCACAACUGCCCUGUCUGCUUCGAGUAUCUAUUUGACUCGACCAUGGACAUCAGCGUACUGCACUGCGGGCACACGAUCCAUUUGGAAUGCCUGAACGAGAUGAGGGUUCAUCACCACUUCGCGUGCCCGGUCUGCUCACGGUCGGCCUGCGACAUGACGGAUGCAUGGCAGAAGCUCGACCAGGAGGUCGCCGCCACGCCCAUGCCAGAGUUCUACCAGAAGAAGAUGGUAAGCAACUUUAAUAAGAUGGCCGCAUGCAUCGUUCUGAUGAAGAGGCCGGGGGUAUGGAUCCUUUGCAACGACUGCGGGGCGACGUCGAGCGUGCGCUUCCAUGUCCUGGCGCAAAAGUGUCCUGGGUGCAGCUCCUACAACACCAGGGAGACGAGGGGCGGCCCGGCUACAGCGGCGUGCUCCAGAGUCUGA
Molecule: ribosomal RNA, 852 nt
Filed under: Triticum aestivum (bread wheat)
Lineage: Eukaryota; Viridiplantae; Streptophyta; Magnoliopsida; Poales; Poaceae
Description: partial small subunit ribosomal RNA
Source: RNAcentral